Molecule: ribosomal RNA, 253 nt
Filed under: uncultured bacterium
Lineage: Bacteria
Description: partial 16S ribosomal RNA
Rfam family: Bacterial small subunit ribosomal RNA
Source: RNAcentral
UACGGAGGGUGCAAGCGUUAUCCGGAUUCACUGGGUUUAAAGGGUGCGUAGGCGGAUAAGUAAGUCCGUGGUGAAAUCCUGCAGCUUAACUGCAGAACUGCCGUGGAUACUAUUUAUCUUGAAUGUCGUGGAGGUUAGCAGAAUAUGUCAUGUAGCGGUGAAAUGCUUAGAUAUGACAUAGAAUACCAAUUGCGAAGGCAGCUGGCUACACGAAUAUUGACACUGAUGCACGAAAGCGUGGGGAUCAAACAGG